This 500-nucleotide ribosomal RNA is filed under the name uncultured Glomeromycotina. RNAcentral describes it as "partial small subunit ribosomal RNA". It matches the Rfam family "Eukaryotic small subunit ribosomal RNA", at positions 591 to 1092 of the family's 1831-position model. Lineage: Eukaryota; Fungi; Glomeromycota. The record is from RNAcentral.
CCAAUAGCGUAUAUUAAAGUUGUUGCAGUUAAAAAGCUCGUAGUUGAAUUUCGGGAUCAUCAGGUUGGUCGUGCCUCUGGUAUGUACUGAUUUCGAUGGUUCCUCCUUCUUGAAGAACCGUAAUGCCAUUAAUUUGGUGUUGCGGGGAAACAGGACUGUUACUUUGAAAAAAUUAGAGUGUUUAAAGCAGGCAAUCGCUUGAAUACAUUAGCAUGGAAUAAUGAAAUAGGACGUUCGAUCCUAUUUUGUUGGUUUCUAGGAUUGACGUAAUGAUUAAUAGGGAUAGUUGGGGGCAUUAGUAUUCAAUUGUCAGAGGUGAAAUUCUUGGAUUUAUUGAAGACUAACUACUGCGAAAGCAUUUGCCAAGGAUGUUUUCAUUAAUCAAGAACGAAAGUUAGGGGAUCGAAGACGAUCAGAUACCGUCGUAGUCUUAACCAUAAACUAUGCCGACUAGGGAUCGGAUGAUGUUAAUUUUUUAAUGACUCAUUCGGCGCCUUACG